This 509-nucleotide ribosomal RNA is filed under the name Lancetes nigriceps. RNAcentral's name for it is "partial 16S ribosomal RNA". It matches the Rfam family "Bacterial large subunit ribosomal RNA", at positions 1819 to 2597 of the family's 2925-position model. Lineage: Eukaryota; Metazoa; Arthropoda; Insecta; Coleoptera; Dytiscidae. The record is from RNAcentral.
GUCCUUUUGAAUUUAAUAUAAGGUUUGACCUGCCCACUGAAAUUUUGAAUGGCCGCAGUAAUUUGACUGUGCAAAGGUAGCAUAAUCAUUAGUUUUUUAAUUAAAAGCUUGUAUGAAGGGUUGGACGAGGUAAAAACUGUCUCUAUUUAAUUUAAAAUAGAAUUUAAUUUUUAAGUUAAAAAGCUUAAAUAUUUUUAAAAGACGAGAAGACCCUAUAGAUCUUUAUAAUAUUUUUUUUAAUUUUAUUAAAGAAUUUUUUAUUAAUUAAUAAAAGUAUUAUUUUAUUGGGGUAAUAAAAAGAUUGAAAAAAUUCUUUUUUUUAUUAAACAUUAAUAAAUGAUUUUAUGAUCCAGUAAUAUUGAUUAAAAGAUUAAGUUACCUUAGGGAUAACAGCGUAAUUUUUUUAAAGAGUUCAUAUCGAUAAAAAAGUUUGCGACCUCGAUGUUGGAUUAAAAAUUAUCUUAGGUGCAGAAGUUUAAGAUUUUGGUCUGUUCGACCAUUAAAUUUUU